AACGAACGCUGGCGGCGCGCCUAACACAUGCAAGUCGAACGAGAAUCCGGGGCAACCUGGUAGUAAAGUGGCAAACGGGUGAGGAAUGCAUGGGUAACCUGUCCUUGAGAAGGGAAUAACCCACCGAAAGGUGAGCUAAUACCCUAUACGUUUCACUUUUUUUGGAAAGUGAAAGAAAGCUAGGCCGAGGGCCUGGCGCUCGUGGAGGGGCUCAUGUCCUAUCAGCUUGUUGGUGGGGUAACGGCCUACCAAGGCAACGACGGGUAGCUGGUCUGAGAGGAUGAUCAGCCACACUGGCACUGAGAUACGGGCCAGACUCCUACGGGAGGCAGCAGUGAGGAAUAUUGCGCAAUGGGCGAAAGCCUGACGCAGCGACGCCGCGUGGGGGAUGAAGGUUUUCGGAUUGUAAACCCCUUUUG
Molecule: ribosomal RNA, 419 nt
Filed under: uncultured bacterium
Lineage: Bacteria
Description: bacterial SSU rRNA
Rfam family: Bacterial small subunit ribosomal RNA
Source: RNAcentral